This 294-nucleotide ribosomal RNA is filed under the name uncultured bacterium. RNAcentral's name for it is "partial 16S ribosomal RNA". It matches the Rfam family "Bacterial small subunit ribosomal RNA", at positions 775 to 1067 of the family's 1533-position model. The record is from RNAcentral.
GGAUUAGAUACCCUGGUAGUCCACGCUGUAAACGAUGAGAACUAGAUGUUGUCCAGUUAUUACUGGGCAGUAUCGCAGCUAACGCAUUAAGUUCUCCGCCUGGGGAGUACGGUCGCAAGAUUAAAACUCAAAGGAAUUGACGGGGGCCCGCACAAGCGGUGGAGCAUGUGGUUUAAUUCGAUGCAACGCGAAGAACCUUACCUACCCUUGAAAUCCUAGGAAUUUUCCAGAGAUGGAGAAGUGCCUUCGGGAACCUAGAGACAGGUGCUGCAUGGCUGUCGUCAGCUCGUGCCG